UCUAGUUGAUAUAUCACAUGCUGAAACUACUCUCCUUUGGAUAAUCCAGUACGAGCCAUUGCCUGCAUUAGCCAAUACAUCCACAGCCCAAUCAUUAGAAUCACCACCUGCACUAAAAUUAAAGCCACUUCUGAUCGCACUCAAGUAUGUAUUUCUAGGACCUAAUGACACCCUCCUGGUGAUCAUUACAUCAGACUUGACCC
RNAcentral lists this long non-coding RNA (203 nucleotides) under Elaeis guineensis (African oil palm). RNAcentral's name for it is "long non-coding RNA (EGUI_LNC049216)". The record is from RNAcentral. Lineage: Eukaryota; Viridiplantae; Streptophyta; Magnoliopsida; Arecales; Arecaceae.